This 314-nucleotide unclassified non-coding RNA is filed under the name Hevea brasiliensis (rubber tree). Lineage: Eukaryota; Viridiplantae; Streptophyta; Magnoliopsida; Malpighiales; Euphorbiaceae. The record is from RNAcentral.
AAUUGAAUUCUUGCAAAAUUCUAAAUUCCAAACAAGAGGUAAAUGCAUUUGGACAAGAAAUUCUGUAGAGAGAACAUAAGAGGUUUCUUCAAAUGAAAAGUAUCAGACUUGGCAUGAUAUCCCCCCAAAAAACCCAUCAAAAUUCAGCAAUAUUGUAGGCCAUGGCAUAUACGUAGGUAAGCAAUGCAGACGCUAUAUAAUAUGGUUGAAGGACUGACAGUUCAUGCAGUUUGAAGGACAUCAAAUAACUUGCUGCCUUUUGACAAUUGACAAACUAAAAUUUUGCAGGUACCUUCUCUAUCUGAGCAUUGACA